ACAGCAGUCGCCGCGGGAAUACGAAGGGUGCAAGCGUUACUCGGAAUUACUGGGCGUAAAGCGUGCGUAGGUGGUGGUUUAAGUCCGUUGUGAAAGCCCUGGGCUCAACCUGGGAAUUGCAGUGGAUACUGGGUCACUAGAGUGUGGUAGAGGAUAGUGGAAUUUCCGGUGUAGCAGUGAAAUGCGUAGAGAUCGGAAGGAACAUCUGUGGCGAAGGCGACUAUCUGGGCCAACACUGACACUGAGGCACGAAAGCGUGGGGAGCAAACAGGAUUAGAUACCCCCGUAGUCCCUGUCUCUUAUAA
Molecule: ribosomal RNA, 305 nt
Filed under: uncultured bacterium
Lineage: Bacteria
Description: partial 16S ribosomal RNA
Rfam family: Bacterial small subunit ribosomal RNA
Source: RNAcentral